CACGUGGCCAAACUACCCUACAGACCGCGAUAACCUCGGGAAACUGAGGCCAAUAGCGGAUAUUACUCUCAGGCUGGAGUGCCGAGAGUGAGAAACGUUCCGGCGCUGUAGGAUGUGGCUGCGGCCGAUUAGGUAGAUGGUGGGGUAACGGCCCACCAUGCCGAUAAUCGGUACAGGUUGUGAGAGCAAGAGCUUGGAGACGGUAUCUGAGACAAGAUACCGGGCCCUACGGGGCGCAGCAGGCGCGAAACCUUUACACUGCACGACAGUGCGAUAGGGGGACUCCGAGUGUGAGGGCAUAUAGCCCUCGCUUUUCUGAACCGUAAGGUGGU
Molecule: ribosomal RNA, 332 nt
Filed under: halophilic archaeon
Lineage: Archaea; Methanobacteriati; Methanobacteriota; Halobacteria; Halobacteriales
Description: bacterial SSU rRNA
Rfam family: Archaeal small subunit ribosomal RNA
Source: RNAcentral